RNAcentral lists this long non-coding RNA (1060 nucleotides) under Mytilus galloprovincialis (Mediterranean mussel). Lineage: Eukaryota; Metazoa; Mollusca; Bivalvia; Mytilida; Mytilidae. The record is from RNAcentral.
UUCGUAGUUCUCUCCUGAUUGAUUGACAGAAAGCAAUGUGUUCGUAGUUCUCUCGUGAUUGAUUGACAGAAAGCAGUGUGUUCGUAGUUCACUCCUGAUUGAUUGACAGAAAACAAUGUGUUCGUAGUUCUCUCGUGAUUGAUUAACUGGUGCUUUCUGCCAUAUUCAUAAACUGUCAUUAGCAGUUAUCUGAUUUUAUUCUUCCAGUUGAUGGGCCAUGCAUGGAAUUCGAUAUUAAAUGCCUUUGUCUAAUAACUUGCUAAGUUUUUAAAUGUGUCCGAUGGGAAAUUUAAUGUUUUUAUCUUGGGGAUGAAAAUAAACUAUAUCCUUUUAUGGUUUAGCAAAAUAGCAUGUACAGUUAUAUCUUUAUAGCAAAAAGAAAUAUAAUUUUUGGGGUAAAUAAAAAUUUAAAUGCUGAAGGUAUCCAAUUCCUAAUUAACAAACUCUUUGAAAAGUACUUUUUAUGAUUUUGAUAGUCUUUGUUACGAGUUUUAAUAGUUAAUGAUAACAAAAUUCCAUUGAUAUUGCAAACAGUCAGCACUUUGCAGAAUAUUUAUACUAAUGAAAUUAUUUAUUUUUUCCCUCUUAAACUAAGUAUAAAAAUUAAAAAAAUUGCUUAAAAUGAAAUUGGUGUAUUAUCGAAAUGUUUUAGGAGAGGACCAUUCAAAACACAGGUUGAAUCCUAGGUAAUGAAUACAGAAAUUCCAGAAAAUCGAAAAAGAAUUCUGGAUCCCGAAAGGGUCAAUCCCGAAAUCUCGAGCUUAAAAACACUCGAUCCCGACGUCCCCCCUCAUAUUGGGUAUUUUUAUACUUCUGCUGGUCUUUGCCAUUAGACUGGUUUUCAUUCGUUCAAUAAUCUAAUUCUAAUUCUUAAUCAAAUGAGAAUGUUGGUAUACGCUACCUAGCUUUUGUUAUAUCACAAGAUAGUGAAUAAAUGAUUUGUAUACGCUACCUAGCUUUUGUUAUAUUUUGUUAUAAUUAUGUUGUCAUUUUAAUGUUAUAUUUAACAAUGCCAUCAAAGUGCGAGGUUUGGCAUGCCACAAAACCAGGUUCAACCCAC